GACUCGGUUGGAUGGUCUGCCUUCGGUAUGUACUGGUGUCACUGGUUUCUCCCUUCUGAAGAACCAUCAUGCCAUUCACUUGGUGUGGUGGGAAAUCAGGACUGUUACUUUGAAAAAAUUAGAGUGUUUAAAGCAGGCUCGCGCUUGAAUACAUUAGCAUGGAAUAAUGAAAUAGGACGU
Molecule: ribosomal RNA, 180 nt
Filed under: uncultured Glomeromycotina
Lineage: Eukaryota; Fungi; Glomeromycota
Description: partial small subunit ribosomal RNA
Source: RNAcentral